CAUCUAGCGUGAAGCUGCCGGAAAAUAUCGCGAUGCACCUCAGGACAUACUGCUCUUUCUCGGAAAGCAGUUGAUAGCUCCAGUCGAGCGCCGCUGCGAUGGAGCGAUGGCGCGGUAACGUGCCGCGGUGGGUCUCGGACAGGAAAUGAUUUCGAUUUUCGAUCCGCUCAGCCACCCCUUUGACGCCGAAGGCAUCAACGCGGGCCGCGGCAAGCUCGAUGGCGAGAGGAUUACCGUCGAGGCCGCGGCAGAUGCGAGCGGCA
Molecule: unclassified non-coding RNA, 263 nt
Filed under: Hevea brasiliensis (rubber tree)
Lineage: Eukaryota; Viridiplantae; Streptophyta; Magnoliopsida; Malpighiales; Euphorbiaceae
Source: RNAcentral